UACAGAGGGGGCAAGCGUUGUUCGGAAUUACUGGGCGUAAAGGGCGCGUAGGCGGCCCGCUAAGUCGAACGUGAAAUCCCCGAGCUCAACUCGGGAACUGCGUCCGAUACUGGCGGGCUUGAAUCCGGGAGAGGGAUGCGGAAUUCCAGGUGUAGCGGUGAAAUGCGUAGAUAUCUGGAGGAACACCGGUGGCGAAGGCGGCAUCCUGGACCGGCAUUGACGCUGAGGAGCGAAAGCGUGGGGAGCAAACAGG
Molecule: ribosomal RNA, 253 nt
Filed under: uncultured bacterium
Lineage: Bacteria
Description: partial 16S ribosomal RNA
Rfam family: Bacterial small subunit ribosomal RNA
Source: RNAcentral